RNAcentral lists this long non-coding RNA (1970 nucleotides) under Homo sapiens (human). Its description in RNAcentral is "HSALNT0034169". Lineage: Eukaryota; Metazoa; Chordata; Mammalia; Primates; Hominidae. The record is from RNAcentral.
UCCCUCUUCUCCCUCAGAUUCCAAUUUAUAUCUACUUUACCACUUCCCAUUUCUCUCCAGGUCCAAUUGCCCUUCUUUGCUCCCUAUCCCUUUUAUGGGCUUUCCUGCCUACUUUUUGUCAGUUCUGAGGGACCUCUGGCUGGAGCAUCCUUGCCUACCUUUGUGUCUUCCCUGCCUUGCUCAAUCCCUUUUUCCCUGUCUCAAGCUGCUCCUCCUCCCCUGACUCAGGACUGGCUGUCUCAUCCCCAGCCCUUUUUUGCCAUUCCUUCCUACUCUGGUCAGUAGGAGGCAAAUGAGAGGGCUCAGCAAAAGCCCCACAAGCUCAUUCUUCUAAGGCAGGCGUGAUCAAGGCUGCCUGAUUGUCACUGCCAACUUCUGUGACCAAGGUAGACCUCUUCUUUCUCCUGCAGGAGACUCGAGUCCGGGCAGGGGAGCUGGACCAGGCUCUAGGACGGCCCUUCACCCUAAGCAUCAGUAACCAGUAUGGGGAUGAUGAGGUGACACACACCCUUCAGACAGAAAGUCGGGAAGCACUGCAGAGCUGGAUGGAGGCUCUGUGGCAGCUUUUCUUUGACAUGAGCCAAUGGAAGCAGUGCUGUGAUGAAAUCAUGAAAAUUGAAACUCCUGCUCCCCGGAAACCACCCCAAGCACUGGCAAAGCAGGGGUCCUUGUACCAUGAGAUGGGUAAGUGAGAGGAAUGUGAACUCCAGGAAGCUAAUGGGAAGUAGGGUUGGGGACUUCAAGAGAAACCAGAUAAUGGAAACAGAGAGAAAGCACACUCUGGGCUACACCAGAUCUCUGGGGACCCAAGUCUCACCCAAUCUUGUGUGUUCUUUUCUCCUCUCCAACUCUUUUUAGAACCACCUCCACCAAAGUUCAAAACAAAACCCCAGUGAGCCAGGAUCAUUUCAUUAAUUUCUUUCCUAAUUUCUUCUUUUCUGUUUCCCUUUCUGCAUGUGGAUUCCUGUCUCUUCUUCUGACCCCUCACUUGCCUGGCACCGCUUUCAUUUUCUCCUCUUGGUUUCUUCACCCACCUCUGCUCCCCACUCCUCCCCUUCCCAUCCCCAUCUACCUUGUGCCCCAUGUCCCACAGUCUUAUCAGAGCCUGUAGCCCCAGGGGGCCCAGGUGAGGGGCUGCUCCUGCAGGAUAACGCAAUCUCCACUGAGAUCCAGGCUUUGCUUUCCUCCUAUUACAGUGACAGGUGAUAGGGCUGGGUAGGCUUGGGGCCUGAGCUCUGACUAGCCCAACCCUCCCCCAACCCCUUCCUGGUGCCACAGCUAUUGAGCCGCUGGAUGACAUCGCAGCGGUGACAGACAUCCUGACCCAGCGGGAGGGCGCAAGGCUGGAGACACCCCCACCCUGGCUGGCAAUGUUUACAGACCAGCCUGCCCUGCCUAACCCCUGCUCGCCUGCCUCAGUGGCCCCAGCCCCAGACUGGACCCACCCCCUGCCCUGGGGGAGACCCCGAACCUUUUCCCUGGAUGCUGUCCCCCCAGACCACUCCCCUAGGGCUCGCUCGGUUGCCCCCCUCCCACCUCAGCGAUCCCCACGGACCAGAGGCCUCUGCAGCAAAGGCCAACCUCGCACUUGGCUCCAGUCACCAGUGUGAGAGAGAAAGGUGCUGGCAUAGGAUCUGCCCAGAAGAGAAAAUGACCCAUGCGCAGUUGGGCUCUGGAUACGGCGCUGUCUAUAGCAAGUUGGCCAGUCUGGCCUCCUGUUCCUCUGCUGGACCUGGGGUAGGCUGCAGGGGUGGGCAGAAGCCCCUCUUAAAUUGUGGUUGCCAUGGUACCGAGGGACUCAUUCCUGGGGCUCGCUGGGACCUCCCUAAACCCUUCCUGGAAGAAAACUGGAACCAACUCUGCCCUACCUCCCUGCACUAACCAGCUUUGAGGAUGGCACUGAAGAACCCUUGGAGCAAACAUACCUCCCUUGUGACUCCCACAUCAACCAUUAAAGUUAUUUAACAGCA